Oreochromis aureus is the source of this 1131-nucleotide long non-coding RNA. RefSeq lists it as uncharacterized. The transcript has 3 exons. The record is from RefSeq and is a predicted model, not a curated record. NCBI's taxonomy places the organism in Eukaryota, Metazoa, Chordata, Actinopteri, Cichliformes, Cichlidae.
UGCUGCGUGCAGCGUCCUGGGCUGAGCUGCUCCCUGCUGUCACACUCACACACACACAAACAAAUGCAUAGACUCAGUGGGGGAGAUUUUGGGGUGUCCCUCACCCUAAUACCAUCCACAAUACACCAGCCCUGCAUCUGUUGCUCCUACUCUCAAAGUUGAAAGUUGAUCAGCGAACUGCUAGCAUGUCUCCGCUCUCUAGAUUUGUCUGUUCAUUUCUAUUUUUCACCUUAACUGUCUCUGUACACUUGUUCCUUUUUGUUUUUCUUUUGAAUUUCCAUCCCUCUCCAAAGAUGGCUAACUAUUUUUCCCAUUUUUCUCCACCUUUGUGUUUCUUUUUUUGACUAGCAUUGGAUUGUAAGCAUUAGCCAGUGGCCCAGUCUUUGUCUUUUGCCUGUCAAAAAAUGGAGGCAGAGGCUUCACCCUCUGAAGGCCUCCAUCGUACAGACAGCUGUUUAACCUGCUAGCAACUGCCUCAGCCAGGUGUAAAUACUCAGCAAACUCCUCGUGCUGCCAGGGCGGAAAAUGAAACGGCCUCUCCAGCUGGAAGAACAAGUGUUGUGUGGGCUCCCUGAAGUGGUGCAGCACUGGGUCAUUGGAGAGCCACAGCGUGUUUGGGAACACAACAGUCUGUGUUUUUUUUCAGCACAGCUUGUUGGAUGAAGGGCCAUUUCACAGGCAUUAUGGAUUAAUCUUUGGCAGGAUCCCUCCAGGAUCAAGCAAAACUGGGCGUUUAACCUCACGUGUCACGACAGAGAGUUCUCUGGUGAUAAACCAGGACAGAGAGGAUUGAACGUGACCCGCAUUUCUCUGUAGAUUCAUUACUUGAGUCCUUCUUAAAAAUAAAAUAUGGGUACACAUCCUUCUUCAGGUACCAGAAAGUGACCGUUUGAACUGCACUGCUGUGUCUGUCACUCCACCUUGCUGUCACCUGCACACAAUCACAGAUUCACAGCUGACACGUCCCACCGCUGCUUAUAAACUGUUCGUUAUGCUCAGCUCAAUAUUGAAAUGCUUUCAAGUUCAUUUUGACAGGAGGUGUGAUUGACAGGUGUAAAUUGAACAGUCUGGGUGCAAACAGAAAGACUGCUUAUAUGUAUUCCUGCAGCUGUACAUGUGUGAACUGUUUUA